RNAcentral lists this small nuclear RNA (104 nucleotides) under Lynx canadensis (Canada lynx). The record is from RNAcentral. Lineage: Eukaryota; Metazoa; Chordata; Mammalia; Carnivora; Felidae.
GUUCUUGCUUUGACAGCACAUAUACCAAAAUUGAAAUGAUACAGAGAAAAUAAGCAUGGCCCAAUGCAAGGCUGAGAAGCAAAUUCGUGUUGUUCCAUAUUAAG